This 1482-nucleotide ribosomal RNA is filed under the name Triticum aestivum (bread wheat). Its description in RNAcentral is "partial small subunit ribosomal RNA". Lineage: Eukaryota; Viridiplantae; Streptophyta; Magnoliopsida; Poales; Poaceae. The record is from RNAcentral.
AUGGCACUCCCUAAGCUCCUCCUGCUUCUCUUCGUCGGCGGUGCACUGUCACUCACCUUCUUCUCCGGUUCAGCAGAGGCCGGCGAGGUGGGCGUGUGCUACGGGAUGAUGGGCGACAACCUGCCGCAGCCGCCGGCGGUGGUGCAGCUGCUGAAGCAGCACGGCAUCACGAUGGUGAGGCUGUACGACGCCGACGCCGGAGGGCUGCGCGCGCUGGCCAACACCGGCAUCAAGGUGGGGGUGUCCCUGCCCAACGACAACAUACCGGACGCGGCGAGCAGCAUGUCGUACGCGGUGCGGUGGGUGCAGAGCAACGUGCAGGCGUACCCGGGCACGUGGAUCGACAGCGUGGCCGUCGGGAACGAGGUGUUCCACCAGGCGCCAUGGCUGACCCACCAGCUCCUCCCGGCCAUGAAGAACAUCCAGGCGGCGCUGGCCGGGGCCGGCCUGGGCGACGCGGUGAAGGUGGUGACGCCGAUCGCGCUGGACGCGCUCAAGGUGCCGUCGUUCCCGCCGUCCGUGGGCGAGUUCCGGGACGACAUCGCGUGGUCGGUGAUGCGGCCCAUGGUGGAUUUCCUGGAGCAGACCGGCUCCUACCUCACCUUCAACAUCUACCCCUACUUCGCCUACAAGUACGAUUCUCACGUCGACCCCGACUUCGCCUUCUUCCGCCCCAACAACGGCCAGCACGACCCGGGCACCGGCCUCACCUACUUCAACCUGUUCGACGCCAUGGUCGACGCCGUGUUCCAUGCCGUGGAGAAGCUGGGCAACUCCGGCGAGCAUACUCAUGGUAAUGGCAGGACGCGUCGACGUGUUGCCUCGUUGAUGAGGGUUCCAGAGUCGGGUGCCCCGGGCGGCAAAGGCAAAACGGGGGUGGCCUCGAACUCGAAGCUGGACGGCUCGGCUUCGACGGAGAACGCCCAGGCGUACAACUCCAACCUCAUCCGCAAGGUCCUGAGCGGCGCCGGCACGCCGUACAACCCCGACGCGGACAUCUCCGUCUACAUCUUCUCCCUCUUCAACGAGAACCUCAAGCCGGGCGACGACGACGAGCGCAACUUCGGCCUCUUCUACCCCAACGGCACGCAGGUGUACGACGUGAACUUCACCCGCCCCGGCCCCGGCCCCGGCCCCGGGGGGCCAAGCUGGUGCGUGGCGAACGCGGCGGUCGGGGACCGGAGGCUCCAGGACGCGCUGGACUACGCGUGCGGGAACGGGGCGGACUGCAGCGGCAUCCAGGCCGGCGGGUGGUGCUUCGAGCCCAACACCAGGGUCGCGCACGCCUCAUACGCGUUCAACGACUACUACCAGCGCAACGGCCGGUCCGUCCAGUCGUGUGACUUCGGCGGCUGCGGCUCCGUCGUCUACCAGCAGCCAAGCUUCGGCAACUGCGUGCUGCCACAAUGGCGUAAUGGACUCAAGAGGUUGGGAGGAGGACCAAACACGGGGCCGCCCUACGUGCACCUCGCUCAGGGAUAG